AAGUCGUAACAAGGUUUCCGUAGGUGAACCUGCGGAAGGAUCAUUAACACUUUUCAUCCCUAACUUAUCUGCAGAGAGGGCAGAGCGGCUCUUUUACUGGAGUUGCUUUGUUCUCUUUGUAGGUUACCAACCCCUUUGUGUGCACUUGUUGAGAGGAGCAUUAAGAGAACUUUUCAAACGGUUUUCUUAGUCAACUCCUUUUGCUUUUUUCUUACCUUUUACCUUUUUUUUUUACCCCUUUUCUAAUGCGAUAGACUGAAAUAAUAACCUUUUUGGAAGGGUUUAAAACAUCCAAAAGAGUAAUACAACUCUUAGCAACGGAUAUCUAGGCUCUC
RNAcentral lists this unclassified non-coding RNA (335 nucleotides) under fungal sp. RNAcentral's name for it is "partial internal transcribed spacer region". The stretch from base 1 to 46 matches the Rfam family "Eukaryotic small subunit ribosomal RNA", at positions 1786 to 1831 of the family's 1831-position model. The record is from RNAcentral. Lineage: Eukaryota; Fungi.